RNAcentral lists this long non-coding RNA (257 nucleotides) under Homo sapiens (human). RNAcentral's name for it is "non-protein coding lnc-KDM5C-5:1". The record is from RNAcentral. Lineage: Eukaryota; Metazoa; Chordata; Mammalia; Primates; Hominidae.
UUCAUGAAACCUGGGAAAGUGGUGCUGGUCCUGGCUGAAUGCUACUCUGGACACAAAGCUGUCACCAUGAAGAACGUUGAUAAGGGCACCUCAAUCUUCCCCUACAGCCACGCUCUGAUGGCUGGAAUUGACUGCUAUCCCCGCAAAUGACAGCUGCCCAUGGGCAAGAAGAAGAUCGCCAAAAGGUCAAAGAUAAAGUCUUGUUAAAGUUCAUAAUUAUAAUCAUCUCAUGCUCACAAGGUACUCUGUUGAUAUCC